AGUCAUUCCCCCUGGCAGCCAAGUGCUAAUGGAUGACUUGUUAUUUUUCUCAUUUUAUAGACGCACACGUUUAUUCUGAUCAUUCAUCCAGAGUUCCCAACACAGAGUUCCCAACACAAGGGCUGCUGCUUCCGGGGCUCCUCUUCAUGUUCGCCCACGGAGCGCGGCACUUGCUGUGUAGCAACCUCGGAGCUUCGUGGCUCUGCAGCCAGGAACCCUCAGUAGAAGAUCCUAAAGCACAGGGCCCGGUGGGCGCCUAAAGCUGAGGAGACGGAGGGAAGGUGCACAGCGACCCGGAGCUGUGUGCACCCUCGCUGUUCCUGUGGCUCAGUGGACGUGAUUCUGUGUCCUGAGGGCAGGGUGUGCGUCUGGCUUCCUGUCCCCUCUGAUUCUUUAUAGUUCAGACCAAUCCAAUCAGAAAUGCCCUCUAGGAGGACCUGCCUUCCUCUGAGUCCAGAGCAGGUCAACAGCGGGUGGGCUGGCCUGGGGCUCACGCCCUACACCUAAGGCAUUGUGUGUGGAUGUCCAUGGCCCCCUGCAGAGUGUGGGCAGCGAGCCAGCAUCUGUUAUUUAGCCAUGGUCUUGCCUGUGGCGUUGGUGUCAUUCCUAGAACUGCAGGAAGGGCGGCAAGACCAUUCGGGGUGCUCCAGAGGGAGCCGCCCAGCCUCUCCUGUCCAUGCCUCCUCUCCCCAGCCUGGCUUUCUCCCUCCUCGCGCUCAGCCGCUAUCUCCAGAGACCCAGGAGUCAGGGGCUUUCUUGACUCUGGUUAAAUUCUUGCAUAGUAGAAAGGGGCUGUGUGCAGAUAAGGCUUGGGGAUCCCCGGUGCACGGGCCUCUCAAUGCCACCCCAGUGGCGGUCCCACCGACUAACACGUAACACGUCCAGUGCUUCUGCUCGUCACAGCAGAUCCACGACAGGUAGCAGUGCUGCUGUCCCCUUUGUUUUACAGGUGGGAAGCCAAGGCCAGAGGAAGUUCGUGAUCACACAGCUGGUAGGUGUAGAGAGGGAUUUGAACCCAGGUAGCUAAUAUAGAGCGUCACCUCUAACCUCCUCCCUACGCUGCCACCUCCAGAGAUGAGCCAUAGCCACAUUGACACCUAGAGUCGGAGUCCUCUGCACAUUUUCUCGUUUUCUUCGAGAUGGUUCUCAGCCUUCCCUUCUCGGUCAGCAAGCUGCAACGUCAGCUUGGUCGUAACACGUAAGGAGAGCGUCCAGGCAAGCCUGCCGUCGGUGUGGGUCCCUUCUCCUGGAUAGCUGCGGGGGCAACGCGGCUCUCCAUACUCAGCAGCCGUCCAGCUGCAGCCACAGACAGAGGCAGGACACAGGCCUCAGCUCCAGUGCUGGGCUUAUCUUCUGCAGGAGAAGAGGCAGCUCCAGAGCCGUCAACUGCUCCGUCCGUUUCCUCCGCUGCAGGCUUGUGGCCGGCUCCUUCUCUCCCCACCUGCCCCCCAUGUGUCGGAAGCAGGUCAGUCUUUCAGGCGAGAGGGGAGUGUCCGGCCCUCCCCACCAGGGUGGCUCUCACAUGUUUGGAACGCUUCUCUGGCCGCAUCAGAUCCUCAAUACCUCCCUGCUCAGAGAAGCCGGUCCUCCAGGCUGCUCCAGCCUCUCCACCCGUAAGAUCUCCGCGUGCGCAGCCAAGCACUGGUGCAGAAGGUGCCCAGCGUUCAGAACAGACAAGCAAGAGGUGGAUGAAGUGUGCCCCGGUGGGUUGAAGAGAUGCUAAGUACUGUUGUGAUUUUACCCUCCUGUCGGCUUCGAGUGGGACAGCAGUGAGAGUCUCUCCCUGGACAGAGUGACGGCAGGGCCACCAUCCUGGGAUCCAAUAACACUGCACCACAUCCAAGCAGAGACCUGGGUCCUCUCCACUGCAGGGCUGAGCAGAACCCCAAAUGCCCGGCGGAAUACUGGACGAAGCUCAGCGGCUUUAGCUCCCAGCACCACGACACAAAACAGAGCAAACAACCAAAAGAGAACUUUGUGCCUGUGCGGGAACCGCCUUCAAGUGAAGUUUAAAACGUGGGUGCCAGUAGCUCGACCCCCUUGUUCCAGGCCUCUCGGAUUCCUGCUCCCGCCACCCUCUGAAUGCUCCAGUGAGGGUUGUGUUACCCACGAAGCACAGAUAAGAAGAGCAGGACUGUCGCACUCAAGCACCUCUUCAGGGUCAUGCUGUCCUCUGUGAUAGGAAGAUCCGAGCCUGGGUCUCCUUCCUUCAUUCAGCCGUCUCCUGAAACUCUCAAGUAAUGUGUGAGCACCAAACUCUGCAACUGGGUUUACUUCAUGCUCUCCAGUGAGAAAACAUUUUAAAAGAUGAUUUUCUGUGAAGGUUAGAUUAAUCAAAUAAAAUCAGUGAAUAAUCUAGCUGAUUAACCUUAUCCUUUCCAAUUAGAGAAGCUUUGGGGAACUUCCUGCCCGACUUGCUGAUUCCCAUGGCUGAUGCAGUGUCCCUGCGAUGCUCAGCUUUGGAGUCUGUGUUCGCUGGGCCCUGAUCCCAAGGAGCAUCUGUGUCACCCUUUUUAAUCAUGAAAGGAUGUUGGAUUUUGUCAAAUGCUUUUUCUAUAUCUAUUGGAAUGACCAUGAACCGCAUAACCUUUAUCCUUUCAAUAUGCUGCGUCACAUUGACAGAUGUGGUGUGUUUAACCAUCCUUGAAUUCCAGGGGUGAAUCCAUUGUCCAUGAUGUAUGGGCUCUUAAAUGGGUUGUGGAAUUCAUAUUGUUUUUAUUUUGUUGACAACUUUGGCAUCCAUGGAAUCAGGGAUUAUGGCCUCUAGUUUUCUUUUCUUGUAGUGUUUUUGUCUGGGUUUUAUAUCAAGUAAUUCUGGCUCAACAAAAGUGAGUUUGGGGGGCUGGGGUUGUGUUUCAGCAGUAGAGCACUCACCUGGCACAUGCAAGGUAUGUGUACCAC
RNAcentral lists this long non-coding RNA (2901 nucleotides) under Marmota monax (woodchuck). The record is from RNAcentral. Lineage: Eukaryota; Metazoa; Chordata; Mammalia; Rodentia; Sciuridae.